RNAcentral lists this ribosomal RNA (438 nucleotides) under uncultured bacterium. Its description in RNAcentral is "partial 16S ribosomal RNA". It matches the Rfam family "Bacterial small subunit ribosomal RNA", at positions 29 to 507 of the family's 1533-position model. The record is from RNAcentral.
AACGAACGCUGGCGGCAUGCCUAACACAUGCAAGUCGAACGAGGCCUUCGGGUCUAGUGGCGCACGGGUGCGUAACGCGUGGGAACCUGCCCUUAGGUUCGGAAUAACUCCCCGAAAGGGGUGCUAAUACCGGAUAAUGUCUUCGGACCAAAGAUUUAUCGCCUUUGGAUGGGCCCGCGUUGGAUUAGCUAGUUGGUAGGGUAAAAGCCUACCAAGGCGACGAUCCAUAGCUGGUCUGAGAGGAUGAUCGGCCACACUGGGACUGAGAUACGGCCCAGACUCCUAAGGGAGGCAGCAGUGGGGGAGAUGGGACAAUGGGAGGAAGCAUGAUGAAGCAACGCCGCGUGCGGGAUGACGGCCGUCGGGUUGUAAACCGCUUUCGCCUGUGACGAAGCGUGAGGGAGGGUAAGGGGUAAAGAAGCACAGGAUAACUACGUG